CUCAGUCUUCUCCCGGGCUCGUGCCGCGGCGCCGUGCAUUAUAUUUUUUGAUGAACUGGAUUCGUUGGCUCCUAAUCGUGGAAGGAGCGGAGAUUCGGGAGGCGUCAUGGACCGGGUGGUGUCCCAGCUGCUGACGGAGAUGGAUGGAUUGCACUCCACAAAUGAUGUCUUUGUGAUCGGAGCCACCAAUCGCCCGGACCUGCUGGACUCGGCUCUGCUGCGACCCGGGAGGUUGGACAAGUUGGUGUAUGUCGGGAUUAAUGAUGAUCGAGACUCCCAGUUGCGGGUCCUGGAGGCCAUAACACGCAAGU
This is a long non-coding RNA of Nanorana parkeri, 311 nucleotides long. RefSeq lists it as uncharacterized. The transcript has 3 exons. The record is from RefSeq and is a predicted model, not a curated record. Lineage: Eukaryota; Metazoa; Chordata; Amphibia; Anura; Dicroglossidae.